GACGAACGCUGGCGGCGUGCUUAACACAUGCAAGUCGAACGGAAAGGCCCUGCUUUUGUGGGGUGCUCGAGUGGCGAACGGGUGAGUAACACGUGAGUAACCUGCCCUUGACUUUGGGAUAACUUCAGGAAACUGGGGCUAAUACCGGAUAGGAGCUCCUGCUGCAUGGUGGGGGUUGGAAAGUUUCGGCGGUUGGGGAUGGACUCGCGGCUUAUCAGCUUGUUGGUGGGGUAGUGGCUUACCAAGGCUUUGACGGGUAGCCGGCCUGAGAAGGUGACCGGCCACAUUGGGACUGAGAUACGGCCCAGACUCCUACGGGAGGCAGCAGUGGGGAAUAUUGCACAAUGGGCGGAAGCCUGAUGCAGCAACGCCGCGUGCGGGAUGACGGCCUUCGGGUUGUAAACCGCUUUCGCCUGUGACGAAGCGUGAGUGACGGUAAUGGGCAAAGAAGCACCGGCUAACUACGUG
Molecule: ribosomal RNA, 468 nt
Filed under: uncultured bacterium
Lineage: Bacteria
Description: partial 16S ribosomal RNA
Rfam family: Bacterial small subunit ribosomal RNA
Source: RNAcentral